Molecule: ribosomal RNA, 1912 nt
Filed under: Staphylococcus aureus M1119
Lineage: Bacteria; Bacillati; Bacillota; Bacilli; Caryophanales; Staphylococcaceae
Description: bacterial LSU rRNA
Rfam family: Bacterial large subunit ribosomal RNA
Source: RNAcentral
GGAAUCUGGGAGGACCAUCUCCUAAGGCUAAAUACUCUCUAGUGACCGAUAGUGAACCAGUACCGUGAGGGAAAGGUGAAAAGCACCCCGGAAGGAGAGUGAAAUAGAACCUGAAACCGUGUGCUUACAAGUAGUCAGAGCCCGUUAAUGGGUGAUGGCGUGCCUUUUGUAGAAUGAACCGGCGAGUUACGAUUUGAUGCAAGGUUAAGCAGUAAAUGUGGAGCCGUAGCGAAAGCGAGUCUGAAUAGGGCGUUUAGUAUUUGGUCGUAGACCCGAAACCAGGUGAUCUACCCUUGGUCAGGUUGAAGUUCAGGUAACACUGAAUGGAGGACCGAACCGACUUACGUUGAAAAGUGAGCGGAUGAACUGAGGGUAGCGGAGAAAUUCCAAUCGAACCUGGAGAUAGCUGGUUCUCUCCGAAAUAGCUUUAGGGCUAGCCUCAAGUGAUGAUUAUUGGAGGUAGAGCACUGUUUGGACGAGGGGCCCCUCUCGGGUUACCGAAUUCAGACAAACUCCGAAUGCCAAUUAAUUUAACUUGGGAGUCAGAACAUGGGUGAUAAGGUCCGUGUUCGAAAGGGAAACAGCCCAGACCACCAGCUAAGGUCCCAAAAUAUAUGUUAAGUGGAAAAGGAUGUGGCGUUGCCCAGACAACUAGGAUGUUGGCUUAGAAGCAGCCAUCAUUUAAAGAGUGCGUAAUAGCUCACUAGUCGAGUGACACUGCGCCGAAAAUGUACCGGGGCUAAACAUAUUACCGAAGCUGUGGAUUGUCCUUUGGACAAUGGUAGGAGAGCGUUCUAAGGGCGUUGAAGCAUGAUCGUAAGGACAUGUGGAGCGCUUAGAAGUGAGAAUGCCGGUGUGAGUAGCGAAAGACGGGUGAGAAUCCCGUCCACCGAUUGACUAAGGUUUCCAGAGGAAGGCUCGUCCGCUCUGGGUUAGUCGGGUCCUAAGCUGAGGCCGACAGGCGUAGGCGAUGGAUAACAGGUUGAUAUUCCUGUACCACCUAUAAUCGUUUUAAUCGAUGGGGGGACGCAGUAGGAUAGGCGAAGCGUGCGAUUGGAUUGCACGUCUAAGCAGUAAGGCUGAGUAUUAGGCAAAUCCGGUACUCGUUAAGGCUGAGCUGUGAUGGGGAGAAGACAUUGAGUCUUCGAGUCGUUGAUUUCACACUGCCGAGAAAAGCCUCUAGAUAGAAAAUAGGUGCCCGUACCGCAAACCGACACAGGUAGUCAAGAUGAGAAUUCUAAGGUGAGCGAGCGAACUCUCGUUAAGGAACUCGGCAAAAUGACCCCGUAACUUCGGGAGAAGGGGUGCUCUUUAGGGUUAACGCCCAGAAGAGCCGCAGUGAAUAGGCCCAAGCGACUGUUUAUCAAAAACACAGGUCUCUGCUAAACCGUAAGGUGAUGUAUAGGGGCUGACGCCUGCCCGGUGCUGGAAGGUUAAGAGGAGUGGUUAGCUUCUGCGAAGCUACGAAUCGAAGCCCCAGUAAACGGCGGCCGUAACUAUAACGGUCCUAAGGUAGCGAAAUUCCUUGUCGGGUAAGUUCCGACCCGCACGAAAGGCGUAACGAUUUGGGCACUGUCUCAACGAGAGACUCGGUGAAAUCAUAGUACCUGUGAAGAUGCAGGUUACCCGCGACAGGACGGAAAGACCCCGUGGAGCUUUACUGUAGCCUGAUAUUGAAAUUCGGCACAGCUUGUACAGGAUAGGUAGGAGCCUUUGAAACGUGAGCGCUAGCUUACGUGGAGGCGCUGGUGGGAUACUACCCUAGCUGUGUUGGCUUUCUAACCCGCACCACUUAUCGUGGUGGGAGACAGUGUCAGGCGGGCAGUUUGACUGGGGCGGUCGCCUCCUAAAAGGUAACGGAGGCGCUCAAAGGUUCCCUCAGAAUGGUUGGAAAUCAUUCAUAGAGUGUAAA